This 56-nucleotide transfer RNA is filed under the name Moniliformis sp. XH-2020. RNAcentral describes it as "tRNA-Phe". The record is from RNAcentral. Lineage: Eukaryota; Metazoa; Acanthocephala; Archiacanthocephala; Moniliformida; Moniliformidae.
ACUGGUUUAGCUUAAUAUAGAGUAUGAAGUUGAAGGUUUCAGGGUAUUAUCCAGUA